CCUACGGGAGGCAGCAGUGAGGAAUAUUGGUCAAUGGACGAGAGUCUGAACCAGCCAAGUAGCGUGAAGGAUGACUGCCCUAUGGGUUGUAAACUUCUUUUAUAUGGGAAUAAAACGUUCCACGUGUGGGUUUUUGUAUGUACCAUAUGAAUAAGGAUCGGCUAACUCCGUGCCAGCAGCCGCGGUAAUACGGAGGAUCCGAGCGUUAUCCGGAUUUAUUGGGUUUAAAGGGAGCGUAGGUGGCUUGUUAAGUCAGUUGUGAAAGUUUGCGGCUCAACCGUAAAAUUGCAGUUGAAACUGGCAGUCUUGAGUACAGUAGAGGUGGGCGGAAUUCGUGGUGUAGCGGUGAAAUGCUUAGAUAUCACGAAGAACUCCGAUUGCGAAGGCAGCUCACUAGACUGCAACUGACACUGAGGCUCGAAAGUGUGGGUAUCAAACAGGAUUAGAUACCCUUGUAGUC
This 460-nucleotide ribosomal RNA is filed under the name uncultured bacterium. Its description in RNAcentral is "partial 16S ribosomal RNA". It matches the Rfam family "Bacterial small subunit ribosomal RNA", at positions 338 to 795 of the family's 1533-position model. The record is from RNAcentral.